Molecule: microRNA precursor, 69 nt
Filed under: Aotus nancymaae (Ma's night monkey)
Lineage: Eukaryota; Metazoa; Chordata; Mammalia; Primates; Aotidae
Description: miRNA (ENSANAG00000000326.1)
Source: RNAcentral
GGGGAGCACAGAGAGCAGGGAGCCUUCCUCAGAGGUGUCAGGCCUUGUUCCUGUCCCCAUUCCUCAGAG